UAUGCUUAACACAUGCAAGUCGAACGAAUUCCUUAGGGAAUUAGUGGCGGACGGGUGAGGUAACACGUGAGAACCUACCUUCAGAAUGGGGAUAACAGUCGGGAAACGACUGCUAAUACCCGAUGUGCCGAGAGGUGAAAGAUUUAUCGUCUGAAGAAGGGCUCGCGGCUGAUUAGCUAGUUGGUAGGGUAAAGGCUUACCAAGGCAACGAUCAGUAACUGGUCUGAGAGGAUGAGCAGUCACACUGGAACUGAGAAGCGGUCCAGACUCC
RNAcentral lists this ribosomal RNA (271 nucleotides) under uncultured bacterium. Its description in RNAcentral is "partial 16S ribosomal RNA". It matches the Rfam family "Bacterial small subunit ribosomal RNA", at positions 45 to 339 of the family's 1533-position model. The record is from RNAcentral.